GGUUAAGCGACUAAGCGUACACGGUGGAUGCCCUGGCAGUCAGAGGCGAUGAAGGGCGUGCUAAUCUGCGAUAAGCGCCGGUAAGGUGAUAUGAACCGUUAUAACCGGCGAUACCCGAAUGGGGAAACCCAGUGUGACUCGUCACACUAUCAUUAACUGAAUCCAUAGGUUAAUGAGGCGAACCGGGGGAACUGAAACAUCUAAGUACCCCGAGGAAAAGAAAUCAACCGAGAUUCCCCCAGUAGCGGCGAGCGAACGGGGAGGAGCCCAGAGCCUGAAUCAGCAUGUGUGUUAGUGGAAGCGUCUGGAAAGGCGCGCGAUACAGGGUGACAGCCCCGUACACAAAAGCGCAUGUGCUGUGAGCUCGAUGAGUAGGGCGGGACACGUGGUAUCCUGUCUGAAUAUGGGGGGACCAUCCUCCAAGGCUAAAUACUCCUGACUGACCGAUAGUGAACCAGUACCGUGAGGGAAAGGCGAAAAGAACCCCGGCGAGGGGAGUGAAAAAGAACCUGAAACCGUGUACGUACAAGCAGUGGGAGCACAGGUUUACCUGUGUGACUGCGUACCUUUUGUAUAAUGGGUCAGCGACUUAUAUUCUGUAGCAAGGUUAACCGAAUAGGGGAGCCGGAGGGAAACCGAGUCUUAAUUGGGCGUUAAGUUGCAGGGUAUAGACCCGAAACCCGGUGAUCUAGCCAUGGGCAGGUUGAAGGUUGGGUAACACUAACUGGAGGACCGAACCGACUAAUGUUGAAAAAUUAGCGGAUGACCUGUGGCUGGGGGUGAAAGGCCAAUCAAACCGGGAGAUAGCUGGUUCUCCCCGAAAGCUAUUUAGGUAGCGCCUCGUGAAUUCAUCUCCGGGGGUAGAGCACUGUUUCGGCUAGGGGGCCAUCCCGGCUUACCAACCCGAUGCAAACUGCGAAUACCGGAGAAUGUUAUCACGGGAGACACACGGCGGGUGCUAACGUCCGUCGUGAAGAGGGAAACAACCCAGACCGCCAGCUAAGGUCCCAAAGUCAUGGUUAAGUGGGAAACGAUGUGGGAAGGCCCAGACAGCCAGGAUGUUGGCUUAGAAGCAGCCAUCAUUUAAAGAAAGCGUAAUAGCUCACUGGUCGAGUCGGCCUGCGCGGAAGAUGUAACGGGGCUAAACCAUGCACCGAAGCUGCGGCAGCGACGCUUAUGCGUUGUUGGGUAGGGGAGCGUUCUGUAAGCCUGCGAAGGUGGCCUGUGAGGGUUGCUGGAGGUAUCAGAAGUGCGAAUGCUGACAUAAGUAACGAUAAAGCGGGUGAAAAGCCCGCUCGCCGGAAGACCAAGGGUUCCUGUCCAACGUUAAUCGGGGCAGGGUGAGUCGACCCCUAAGGCGAGGCCGAAAGGCGUAGUCGAUGGGAAACGGGUUAAUAUUCCCGUACUUGGUGUUACUGCGAAGGGGGGACGGAGAAGGCUAUGUUGGCCGGGCGACGGUUGUCCCGGUUUAAGCGUGUAGGUGUGUGUUCCAGGUAAAUCCGGUUCACUUUAACACUGAGGCGUGAUGACGAGGCACACUACGGUGCUGAAGUAACAAAUGCCCUGCUUCCAGGAAAAGCCUCUAAGCAUCAGGUAACAUCAAAUCGUACCCCAAACCGACACAGGUGGUCAGGUAGAGAAUACCAAGGCGCUUGAGAGAACUCGGGUGAAGGAACUAGGCAAAAUGGUGCCGUAACUUCGGGAGAAGGCACGCUGACACGUAGGUGAAGUGAUUUACUCACGGAGCUGAAGUCAGUCGAAGAUACCAGCUGGCUGCAACUGUUUAUUAAAAACACAGCACUGUGCAAACACGAAAGUGGACGUAUACGGUGUGACGCCUGCCCGGUGCCGGAAGGUUAAUUGAUGGGGUCAGCGCAAGCGAAGCUCCUGAUCGAAGCCCCGGUAAACGGCGGCCGUAACUAUAACGGUCCUAAGGUAGCGAAAUUCCUUGUCGGGUAAGUUCCGACCUGCACGAAUGGCGUAAUGAUGGCCAGGCUGUCUCCACCCGAGACUCAGUGAAAUUGAACUCGCUGUGAAGAUGCAGUGUACCCGCGGCAAGACGGAAAGACCCCGUGAACCUUUACUAUAGCUUGACACUGAACAUUGAGCCUUGAUGUGUAGGAUAGGUGGGAGGCUUUGAAGUGUGGACGCCAGUCUGCAUGGAGCCGACCUUGAAAUACCACCCUUUAAUGUUUGAUGUUCUAACGUGGACCCGUUACCCGGGUUGCGGACAGUGUCUGGUGGGUAGUUUGACUGGGGCGGUCUCCUCCUAAAGAGUAACGGAGGAGCACGAAGGUUGGCUAAUCCUGGUCGGACAUCAGGAGGUUAGUGCAAUGGCAUAAGCCAGCUUGACUGCGAGCGUGACGGCGCGAGCAGGUGCGAAAGCAGGUCAUAGUGAUCCGGUGGUUCUGAAUGGAAGGGCCAUCGCUCAACGGAUAAAAGGUACUCCGGGGAUAACAGGCUGAUACCGCCCAAGAGUUCAUAUCGACGGCGGUGUUUGGCACCUCGAUGUCGGCUCAUCACAUCCUGGGCUGAAGUAGGUCCCAAGGGUAUGGCUGUUCGCCAUUUAAAGUGGUACGCGAGCUGGGUUUAGAACGUCGUGAGACAGUUCGGUCCCUAUCUGCCGUGGGCGCUGGAGAACUGAGGGGGCUGCUCCUAGUACGAGAGGACCGGAGUGGACGCAUCACUGGUGUUCGGGUUGUCAUGCCAAUGGCACUGCCCGGUAGCUAAAUGCGGAAGAGAUAAGUGCUGAAAGCAUCUAAGCACGAAACUUGCCCCGAGAUGAGUUCUCCCUGAGACUUAAAGUCUCCUGAAGGAACGUUGAAGACGACGACGUUGAUAGGCCGGGUGUGUAAGCGCAGCGAUGCGUUGAGCUAACCGGUACUAAUGAACCGUGAGGCUUAACCCU
RNAcentral lists this ribosomal RNA (2908 nucleotides) under Salmonella enterica subsp. enterica serovar Dublin. RNAcentral describes it as "23S ribosomal RNA". It matches the Rfam family "Bacterial large subunit ribosomal RNA". Lineage: Bacteria; Pseudomonadati; Pseudomonadota; Gammaproteobacteria; Enterobacterales; Enterobacteriaceae. The record is from RNAcentral.